Oryctolagus cuniculus (rabbit) is the source of this 922-nucleotide non-coding RNA. The record is from RefSeq and is a predicted model, not a curated record. NCBI's taxonomy places the organism in Eukaryota, Metazoa, Chordata, Mammalia, Lagomorpha, Leporidae.
UUCAAAGUUGGAGGGUCUACCAAAAAUGUUACAUUAUCAAUUUUAGAAGUUUAAUUUGUUAGAAUAUUUUGAUGGUGAUUGAAAGUUCUGAUAAUUUGAAUAUAGGAUAUUUAAUAAAAAUAUCCUUAUAAAAAUCAUUAUAUGAAGAAAAGAAGUUUUAAUUUUUUUAAUUAAGAGGUAAAGAGAUGAAAGAGACACAGAAAAGAAAGAGCUCUCAUUCCCUUUGUUCACUCCCCAAGGGCCGCCAACAGACAGGCGAAAAAAACUAAGAUUUAGGAAAUCAAUCCAUGCCUCACAUUUGGAUAGAAGGAACCCAAUUGCUUGAGCCAUCACUGUUGGUCCCUGGGUCUAUAGAAGAUGGAAACUGCAGUCAAGAGUCAAAGCCAGGAUUCAAACGGAGGAUAUACAUAUAGCCACAUGAGAAGAAAGAAUAUAAAAUUGUAAUUCUUGGAAUGAUUUUUGAGAAAAAUGUUUGAAUAUCACUUACCUCUGAGGCAGUUCUUUUGGAAAUUAUAAAUAUAUUUCUUUCUGGGGACAAAAGAAUGCCCAUCAAAAUGAAAGAUGAAGCAUGGAAUCUGAAUUCACAGCUGCUUUAUGCAAUAUGGAAGAAGUGCAGGGUUUCUCAUUUCAGUUUUCUUCUCAAAGAUUUAUAGAUAGAAGCCUAAAAUGAUAUAUUUAAAUUCUUUUAUAUUCUCUUGUCUGGCUGUGUAAAUGAUUGCAAUCAAUCAGGUUUUUUUUUUUUUUUUUGUUCAAGAAGAACCUUGAAAUGACAAUAUGAAAAUUUUUCACAUGUAAUUUCAGUUAUACAGUGGGAAAUGACUGACAGCUUAGCAGUGUCUCACUGUGGCAAGAAUAUGAUGGUAUUUUUGAGCAAAUAGUUUUACUUAAGAAAAGUAAAGUUACAAUAAGUUGACUUUUUAAA